Molecule: transfer RNA, 69 nt
Filed under: Rana kunyuensis
Lineage: Eukaryota; Metazoa; Chordata; Amphibia; Anura; Ranidae
Description: tRNA-Arg
Rfam family: tRNA
About the family: Transfer RNA (tRNA) molecules are approximately 80 nucleotides in length. Their secondary structure includes four short double-helical elements and three loops (D, anti-codon, and T loops).
Source: RNAcentral
GGAGUAUUAGUCCAAUAAAGACAGCUGAUUUCGACUCAACUAAUUAUGGUUUAAAUCCAUAGUACUCCU